GAACAGCAUAAUAUUGUGGGAGGAGUCAUUUGGUGGGUUUUGAGUGAAAUCCAAUCCCUAGAACUAUACAAUACACCAACCACCCCAUUUCAGAACGAACUUCGUACGAACCUGAAUUGUCCGAUUUCAAGGACCAAUCGGUAUCGGAUUGAGUCCAAAACUGGGGGAACAUCAUAAUAUUGUGGGAGGAGUCAUUUGGUGGGUUUUAAGUGAAAUCCAAUCUCUAGAACUAUACAAUACACCAACCAACACAUUUCAGAACGAACUUCGUACGAACCUGAAUUGUCCGAUUUCAAGGACCAAUCGAUAUCAGAUUGAGUCCAGAACUUGGGGAACAUCGUAAUAUUGUGGGAGGAGUCAUUUGGUGGGUUUUGAGUGAAAUCCAAUCUCUAGAACUAUACAAU
Molecule: long non-coding RNA, 404 nt
Filed under: Prunus persica (peach)
Lineage: Eukaryota; Viridiplantae; Streptophyta; Magnoliopsida; Rosales; Rosaceae
Description: long non-coding RNA (PPER_LNC003362)
Source: RNAcentral